AUUAUUUUUGAAGACGAACACAUUAGAGCCAUUUUUUUACAAGGCGAUUCUAAUAUAUUAGUUCUCUCUUUUGG
RNAcentral lists this transfer RNA (74 nucleotides) under Acinetobacter baumannii BJAB07104. Its description in RNAcentral is "tRNA-Arg". The record is from RNAcentral. Lineage: Bacteria; Pseudomonadati; Pseudomonadota; Gammaproteobacteria; Moraxellales; Moraxellaceae.